This 253-nucleotide ribosomal RNA is filed under the name uncultured bacterium. RNAcentral's name for it is "partial 16S ribosomal RNA". It matches the Rfam family "Bacterial small subunit ribosomal RNA", at positions 524 to 776 of the family's 1533-position model. The record is from RNAcentral.
UACGGAGGGGGCUAGCGUUGUUCGGAAUUACUGGGCGUAAAGCGCACGUAGGCGGCUUUGUAAGUUAGAGGUGAAAGCCCAGGGCUCAACCCUGGAAUUGCCUUUAAGACUGCAUCGCUUGAACAUCGGAGAGGUAAGUGGAAUUCCGAGUGUAGAGGUGAAAUUCGUAGAUAUUCGCAAGAACACCAGUGGCGAAGGCGGCUCACUGGCCCGGUACUGACGCUGAGGUGCGAAAGCGUGGGGAGCAAACAGG